UUCAGAUGUUUUCUGACUCUAAAUGUUCUUUUCUCAUUUCUUAGGUUUUUCUAAUUUACAAUUAAAACAUUUUCAGCUUUUUUCCAACUUCUUCUUCUGUGUAACCUUCAGCUUUUAGCAGUUCAGCACUUUUGUUUUCAGGUUAAAUUUGUUUUUUUUUUUUUUUAUCUCAUUCAAAAUUUUUAACUCAAAAUUCAGCAAUUAAUUCAUUUCAGUGCAUACAUUCAGAUUCAAGCAUUCACACUGCAGUUUCUUCAGAAAAUGCACUUUCUAGUUAUAUUUUAUUUUUCCGUACGUUUUUUGAAAGCCUACUCCUUCAAAACCGUUCAACUUAGAAAAACCAUUCAAACACCGUUAGAUUCCUAUUAUUUUGGACAACAUUGCUUCUAUUUUUCUCAUUUUUAACAUUUAUAUUUUUAAUUUUAUUCAACUUUUUUCAACAAAAAUUUAUAAUGUAUUUCAAUGGGGAGACCCUUCAAAUUCUCAUUCAACUUCCUCCUCUUUAAACUGUAUCUACUUCCACAUACAUUGACAUAGAGCCACCAUUCAAACUUUAAAACGAAGACAAGACAUUCAACUAUUCAACUUGUAUUUAUCUUUUCAAUAUCUAUUAUACUUUUUCUUCAGUUCCAGUUUAAGUUUCAUGAUGUUUUUUCACCCGUUUCAGAGUUUAUAAUGGGUGUGUAUGGGACGGAAUGUUGGGGCUAGAGUGAGAGAGCUCAACUGCUAGAGUGAGAGGAGCAAAAAAAUUAAUCUUAAAAUCUUUUUUAAAACUGCUGCUGUGUCCGCAGCGUUUGCUCUACAGCCACCAUUUUACCCUCAAAACGUAGCCAUCGCUGUCCUCUUUCAUCCAAUGUGUUUACUAUUGUCCUAGGUGUUAUGGUUCUUUCAUAAAUGUCACCAAUGCACAGCCUCCUCCCUCCAACUCUUCCAUAGACUCUAAUGUUAAAAUGGCUCAGAAGGUUCGUUUGAAAAUCAGAAGAGCAUGGUGUCUUUCCACUGUCACCACGUCCAUAUAAUAAACUCCACAGGCAUGAAAACUGAGAAUUCAGUAGACUAGACAUUGCUGUCACUCACGGUGAAAGAAUUUUGUCAAUACGACUUUUACUUUUCAUUUGGGAGCGAUUUGUUUCGGCCUGACUUUUCUGUUCAUUUUAAGCAGCAAAAGUGAGGCGCAUGUCUGUGUACGUGUGUAUGGAGCCAUUGGGUGCAGUCACUAUAGCAACCAGGCUCACACCUGCCUGCUUAACGAGCUCUGCCUGCCACUGUACCAAGAUUCAUCUUAAGCACUUCUCUUUCAACUGCUGCUGUGUCCACAGUGUUACAGCCAUCAUUUUACCCUCAAAUUGUCGCCAUUAUUGUUCUCUUUCCAACACCGUGUCUUUCAAAGCUCAGACAUUUAAACUUUUUAAACUGUGUGGAUCAAAGUGGAGGGAUCACAUUUUCUUCAUUCAGUGAUUCAAAGAAUAUGAACUUUUAAUAUUCAUUCAGAUGUUUUCUGACUCUAAAUGUUCUCUUCUAAAUUCUUAGGGUUUUCUAAUUUACAAUUAAAACAUUUUCAGCUUUUUUCCAACUUCUUCUGUGUAACGUUCAGCUUUUAGCAGUUCAGCACCUUUGUUUUCAGGUUAAAUUCGGGUUUUUUUGGGGUUUUUUUUAAUCUCAUUCAAUAUUUUUAACUCAAAAUUCAGCAAUUAAUUCAUUUCAGUGCAUACAUUCAGAUUCAAGCAUUCACACUGCAGUUUCUUCAGAAAAUGCACUUUCUAGUUGUCAUUGUUACUCGUCAUGGAAAAUUCCAAAUCAAAUCACUUUUAUUGUCACAUCACAUGUGCAGGUACACUGGUACAGUACAUGCGAGUGAAAUUCUUGUGUGCAAGCUUCACAAGCAACAGAGGUGUGUAAAAAUACAAUAACAUAAGAACAAGCAAAAUAUAAGAAUGGGUAAAUCUGUGAAUUAUAUGAAUAAAUAUAUGUACAAUAUAAGAGUGUAUGCGCAUUACUGAAUGUGUAUACUAAAUAUGUAUAUCUACUAGAGAUGGACCGAUCCGAUAUUACGUAUCGGUAUCGGUCCGAUACUGACCUAAAUGACUGGAUCGGAUAUCGGAGAAAAAUAAAAAAUGUAAUCCGAUCCAUUAAAUAUCACGAAAGCACCUCACAAACUUGCAACACGCCGUAACUCACCUCGGUGAUCUGGAUAGCAUGUGGAGCUUCGCUAGCAACCCGGCAUUUCAUCUCCGACAAAGUUAUCCCCGAGAGAAGUAAAGCAAGUGUGUAAGUCCAUCUCUGAAUGUUUGUAAAGCAUUCCUGCUUUAAGCUUAACGAGCGACUGCCUCUUGCUCUCCGGCUGCUACUUCAAUCGUGAAACUGCUUAAAUGAUCAGCUGAUCGGCUUUUCUGUCCUGAGUCCAUCUUUGUUUUUGGCCCACUUUGCACCAGAAAGAGGAAACCAGCAGCUGAACAACAGCAGCACGUUUAAGCUUGAUCAGCUGUUGUUAGAAUUUAUUUAAUAUUACUUUCUACACCAGGAUCUUUUUCUACGUAGCUGACGGCUGGUAACUGUGCAGGGGCGGAUCUAGCAAAGUUUAGCCAGGGGGGCCGAUAGGGCAUGAACAGGGAAAAGGGGGCACAAAGACAUACUUUUCUUUCUUAUUCUCAUUUAAAAUGUCGAGCUUUUAAUAAAUAAUUAUCUGACAGCCAAAGUUUUAAUUUGAUGUAAAAUGAAUAGAAGUCAAUUACUGUAUAUAGUGACUAUUAAGUCUAAUAUAUAUAUACCCUAGUAAGCUAUAGUACUUUUUCCUUUGGGAAGGUACCAUCUGUGCAGUCUGCAAUUUUGUUGAAGAAAGAUGUUGAAUCUAUUUAAUAUUUCUUGAAAAAUAAUUGAUUUCUGUGCAUUUUUUUUCACACUGCAUCAAAUUAAGGUUGAUUACGUCGAUUAAGCAUCAUGAGGUGGAGCGUGAGGGGUGGUUCCCUAUUUUUUAUUUAUUUAUUUUUGUUGUUGCUGGGAGUUGGAACCCUAUUAGUUAGGUUGCUUAAUAUUUAUGCUAAGUACUCUUUAAAAAACCAGAAUAGGGAGGAUGGUGUAGGUCUAAGUUUAUUAGAUUGAUCAGUAUUGCUGAACUAUGAAAUAUUUUUUUUGUAUACAGGUAUAACAGAAUAGCUUUAGUGUAGUUGUUGUUUUAAACUUGAGUAUGAACUUGCAGACUUGCAAAAUGCAGCAAGAUAUUUUAAAAAACAGUUUUGUUGAUUAAAAAACACUAUAUCGGAUUCAUAUCGGUAUCGGCAGAUAUCCAAAUUUAUGAUAUCGGUAUCGGUAUCGGACAUAAAAAAGUGGUAUCGUGCCAUCUCUAAUAUCUACGUGUGUGUGUAUGUAUAUUAU
Molecule: long non-coding RNA, 3372 nt
Organism: Astatotilapia calliptera (eastern happy)
Lineage: Eukaryota; Metazoa; Chordata; Actinopteri; Cichliformes; Cichlidae
Source: Ensembl